ACCUAGCUACUUUCAUAUUAUUGACACAAACUUUAUUUUGUUUUAAGAUAUAUUAGUUUAGCUAUCAUUUGUCAGAAUGAUAUGGAGUUAGCAUCUUCCAAUCCAAUAAUUGUAAUAUAUUUGUUCUUCCUUAUAUUUUCGCUGGUGCUUGUUGGCAAUAAUACCUCUUCUUUCUUCUGUUUAAUUGCAAACAGAUGCAAUGCUAACCCUUUUCCAAAGAAAAAUUUCAUCUUGGUGCUAUAUCAUAUUCUUAAGGAACAUGUUCUGCAAGAAAAUAGUUAAAAUCAGAAAAAAUAAAAAGUUAUUCCCUACAGAUUGUCUUAAAUGAAUUACUAUGGAGGAAAUAUUCUAAUUGGAACUUGUUUAUCAAAUUUCUCCUUGCUUCACUUGUUUUUCUGUGCAUCGGCUUUAUUUUAGUAAUUGUGAGUCUCUUAGUGUGUUGACUACUUUGCUUUUCUUUUUUCAGUAACUUUAUUAGAGGAUAACAUCAUUAAGGUGUCUGUGAUGGCUAUUUAGUGGUUGCCACUUUUUUGUAGAAGAUAUGAGUCACUGGUUGUUGAAAUGAGGCAGAGCUGUAUUUGUCGUUUUUACUUUCCCAGAUUUGCAUGAUGCAGCUGGUGGUGGGGGAGAACCCAAGUACAAAAAGGAAAUAUCUACAGA
Molecule: non-coding RNA, 660 nt
Organism: Carica papaya (papaya)
Lineage: Eukaryota; Viridiplantae; Streptophyta; Magnoliopsida; Brassicales; Caricaceae
Source: RefSeq, a predicted model, not a curated record